This 694-nucleotide ribosomal RNA is filed under the name uncultured bacterium. Its description in RNAcentral is "bacterial SSU rRNA". It matches the Rfam family "Bacterial small subunit ribosomal RNA", at positions 32 to 715 of the family's 1533-position model. The record is from RNAcentral.
AACGCUAGCUACAGGCUUAACACAUGCAAGUCGAGGGGCAGCACGGUCUUAGCUUGCUAAGGCCGAUGGCGACCGGCGCACGGGUGAGUAACACGUAUCCAACCUGCCGUCUACUCUUGGACAGCCUUCUGAAAGGAAGAUUAAUACAAGAUGGCAUCAUGAGUCCGCAUGUUCACAUGAUUAAAGGUAUUCCGGUAGACGAUGGGGAUGCGUUCCAUUAGAUAGUAGGCGGGGUAACGGCCCACCUAGUCUUCGAUGGAUAGGGGUUCUGAGAGGAAGGUCCCCCACAUUGGAACUGAGACACGGUCCAAACUCCUACGGGAGGCAGCAGUGAGGAAUAUUGGUCAAUGGGCGAGAGCCUGAACCAGCCAAGUAGCGUGAAGGAUGACUGCCCUAUGGGUUGUAAACUUCUUUUAUAAAGGAAUAAAGUCGGGUAUGGAUACCCGUUUGCAUGUACUUUAUGAAUAAGGAUCGGCUAACUCCGUGCCAGCAGCCGCGGUAAUACGGAGGAUCCGAGCGUUAUCCGGAUUUAUUGGGUUUAAAGGGAGCGUAGAUGGAUGUUUAAGUCAGUUGUGAAAGUUUGCGGCUCAACCGUAAAAUUGCAGUUGAUACUGGAUAUCUUGAGUGCAGUUGAGGCAGGCGGAAUUCGUGGUGUAGCGGUGAAAUGCUUAGAUAUCACGAAGAACUCCGAUUG